RNAcentral lists this ribosomal RNA (196 nucleotides) under uncultured Actinomycetales bacterium. RNAcentral describes it as "partial 16S ribosomal RNA". It matches the Rfam family "Bacterial small subunit ribosomal RNA", at positions 135 to 334 of the family's 1533-position model. Lineage: Bacteria; Bacillati; Actinomycetota; Actinomycetes; Actinomycetales. The record is from RNAcentral.
ACUUCUGGAUAAGCUUGGGAAACUGGGUCUAAUACCGGAUAGGACCGCACUUUAGUGUGUGUGGUGGAAAGUUUUUUCGGUGUAGGAUGAGCUCGCGGCCUAUCAGCUUGUUGGUGGGGUAAUGGCCUACCAAGGCGGCGACGGGUAGCCGGCCUGAGAGGGUGUACGGCCACAUUGGGACUGAGAUACGGCCCAG